Molecule: long non-coding RNA, 780 nt
Filed under: Pan troglodytes (chimpanzee)
Lineage: Eukaryota; Metazoa; Chordata; Mammalia; Primates; Hominidae
Description: lincRNA
Source: RNAcentral
AAGAGAGAAAGGCGGCGGUGUCCUGCGGAGAGAGCUGCUCCCUCCACUGCCCGAGGGGAGCGCGUCGCCUCAGCCGCUCGAAAGCAGGAAAUGGGCGGCAAAAGCGCAGUCAGACACCAACUGGUUCUGGACUGCCCCCGAGAGGCAGCGAGCAGCGCUCCCGCGCUUCGCCCGCUAGGAGCUGCCGCCACGUCCCGAGCUGCGCCGCUCGCGCCCCUCCCUGCUCCGAGCCCCCGGUGGGGGCUGGGCUGCGGCCGAGUCCGGUAGCCGGGCCCCCACCCGCGCCGCGCUGUCGAACCCGCCGCCGGCCCGCUCUCGGCGCCGAUAAUCGCCGGCGGGCAUCCCGCAGAGGCUGCCGCCGGCUCCGCCAAACAGCAGCCAAGGCAUAGCCGGGAAGUCCCCAGGCCACCCGUUCCCCAGCACCCUUCGGGGAAUUCCCGUUCAGCUCUACAGGAGGCGAAAACGGAACAAACGAAAACCCCUUAACAGUGAAACCGGGCCCGGCGAUGGCCCGGGUGGCGACUGCGACGACUCGACGCGUGCGGACACAAGACCCGUCUCGCGCUCCGCUGCUCCUGUGCGUCCGGACGAACCUUAGAGAUCACUUAAGGAGGCUCGCGCGCUACUCCUCACCACGUGACCGCCCCGCCAGGCCGCCCCCCGCGCCGCCAUCUUACAUCCGGGACAGAGGCGGCGUCCCCUUUCCCUGCCUUGGCAGGCGUCAGCGUGCCACCAGAAAUCAGCCCUGAAAGAGGGGACCCCGAUUCCACGUCACCAGAG